UACAGAGGGGGCCAGCGUUAUUCGGAAUUAUUGGGCGUAAAGGGCGCGUAGGCGGCCAUGCGUGUCUUCCGUGAAAUCCCUCGGCUCAACCGAGGACGUGCGGAAGAAACUGCAAGGCUCGAGUCCGGAAGAGGGGGGCGGAAUUCCCAGUGUAGCGGUGAAAUGCGUAGAUAUUGGGAGGAACACCAGUGGCGAAGGCGGUCCCCUGGGCCGGAACUGACGCUGAGGCGCGAAAGCGUGGGGAGCGAACAGG
This 253-nucleotide ribosomal RNA is filed under the name uncultured bacterium. RNAcentral's name for it is "partial 16S ribosomal RNA". It matches the Rfam family "Bacterial small subunit ribosomal RNA", at positions 524 to 776 of the family's 1533-position model. The record is from RNAcentral.